Molecule: ribosomal RNA, 468 nt
Filed under: uncultured bacterium
Lineage: Bacteria
Description: partial 16S ribosomal RNA
Rfam family: Bacterial small subunit ribosomal RNA
Source: RNAcentral
GACGAACGCUGGCGGCGUGCUUAACACAUGCAAGUCGAACGGAAAGGCCCUGCUUUUGUGGGGUGCUCGAGUGGCGAACGGGUGAGUAACACGUGAGUAACCUGCCCUUGACUUUGGGAUAACUUCAGGAAACUGGGGCUAAUACCGGAUAGGAGCUCCUACUGCAUGGUGGGGGUUGAAAAGUUUCGGCGGUUGGGGAUGGACUCGCGGCUUAUCCGCUUGUUGGUGGGGUAGUGGCUUACCAAGGCUUUGACGGGUAGCCGGCCUGGGAGGGUGACCGGCCACAUUGGGACUGAGAUACGGCCCAGAGUCAUACGGGAGGCAGCAGUGAGGAAUAUUGCACAAUGGGCGGAAGCCUGAUGCAGCAACGCCGCGUGCGGGAUGACGGCCUUCGGGUUGUAAACCGUUUUCGCCUGUGACGAAGCGUGAGUGACGGUAAUGGGUAAAGAAGCACCGGCUAACUACGUG